This 305-nucleotide ribosomal RNA is filed under the name uncultured bacterium. RNAcentral's name for it is "bacterial SSU rRNA". It matches the Rfam family "Bacterial small subunit ribosomal RNA", at positions 333 to 652 of the family's 1533-position model. The record is from RNAcentral.
UUAAGCCUACGGGGGGCAGCAGUGGGGAAUAUUGGGCAAUGGGCGCAAGCCUGACCCAGCAACGCCGCGUGAAGGAAGAAGGCCCUCGGGUUGUAAACUUCUUUUGUCAGGGACGAAGCAAGUGACGGUACCUGACGAAUAAGCCACGGCUAACUACGUGCCAGCAGCCGCGGUAAUACGUAGGUGGCAAGCGUUAUCCGGAUUUACUGGGUGUAAAGGGCGUGUAGGCGGGGAAGCAAGUCAGAUGUGAAAUUCCAGGGCUCAACCCUGGAACUGCAUUUGAAACUGUUUUUCUUGAGUGAUGG